UACGGAGGGGGCAAGCGUUAUUCGGAAUUAUUGGGCGUAAAGGGCGCGUAGGCGGCUAGCUGUGUCAAAGGUGAAAUCCCUCGGCUCAACUGAGGAACUGCCUUUGAAACUGUCUGGCUUGAGGCCGGGAGAGGGUAGCGGAAUUCCCAGUGUAGCGGUGAAAUGCGUAGAUAUUGGGAGGAACACCAGUGGCGAAGGCGGCUACCUGGACCGGUUCUGACGCUGAGGCGCGAAAGCGUGGGUAGCAAACAGG
Molecule: ribosomal RNA, 253 nt
Filed under: uncultured bacterium
Lineage: Bacteria
Description: partial 16S ribosomal RNA
Rfam family: Bacterial small subunit ribosomal RNA
Source: RNAcentral